AAUCAACGCUGGCGGCGUGCCUCAGACAUGCAAGUCGAACGCGAAAGUUUCCUUCGGGGAACAAGUAGAGUGGCGCACGGGUGAGUAACACGUAGGUAAUCUACCUUUGGAUGGGGAAUAACAACCGGAAACGGUUGCUAAUACCGCAUAAUGCAGCGGCACCUAAUGGUGACAGUUGUUAAAGCGGGGGAUCGAAAGACCUCGCGUCUGAAGAGGAGCCUGCGGCGGAUUAGCUAGUUGGUAAGGUAAUGGCUUACCAAGGCGACGAUCCGUAACCGGCCUGAGAGGGCGGUCGGUCACACUGACACUGACAUACGGGUCAGACUCCUACGGGAGGCAGCAGUCGGGAAUUUUGGGCAAUGGGCGAAAGCCUGACCCAGCAACGCCGCGUGAAGGAUGAAAUCCCUCGGGAUGUAAACUUCGCAAGAACGGGAAGAAUAAGCGAGAGUUAAUAUCUUUCGUGAUGA
This 467-nucleotide ribosomal RNA is filed under the name uncultured bacterium. Its description in RNAcentral is "bacterial SSU rRNA". It matches the Rfam family "Bacterial small subunit ribosomal RNA", at positions 32 to 472 of the family's 1533-position model. The record is from RNAcentral.